GAUGAACGCUGGCGGCGUGCCUAAUACAUGCAAGUCGAACGCAUUGUGGUUGAAAUGAUAUGAAGAACUUGUUCAGAUUUGAUUUUCAACAUUGCAAUGAGUGGCGAACGGGUGAGUAACACGUGGGAAACCUACCUCUUAGCAGGGGAUAACAUUUGGAAACAAAUGCUAAUACCGUAUAAUAAUUAAAACCGCAUGGUUUUAGUUUAAAAGAUGGUCUUGCUAUCACUAAGAGAUGGUCCCGCGGUGUAUUAGUUAGUUGGUGAGGUAAUGGCUCACCAAGACAAUGAUACAUAGCCGAGUUGAGAGACUGACGGCCACAAUGGACGUGAGACACGGCCCAUACUCCUACGGACGGCAGCAGUA
Molecule: ribosomal RNA, 366 nt
Filed under: uncultured bacterium
Lineage: Bacteria
Description: bacterial SSU rRNA
Rfam family: Bacterial small subunit ribosomal RNA
Source: RNAcentral